RNAcentral lists this long non-coding RNA (691 nucleotides) under Pongo abelii (Sumatran orangutan). Its description in RNAcentral is "lincRNA". The record is from RNAcentral. Lineage: Eukaryota; Metazoa; Chordata; Mammalia; Primates; Hominidae.
AUACUGAGGAGAACUGAGAGAGACUGGGUAGCUUCCGGUGCUUCCCCAGGCCCCCAGCCCCAUCCCUCAGCUGAGGACUGCACCUCCCUCUCCCACCCAGGCUGUACCUGUCACUGCCCUCCAUUCCACCAGGCUCAGCACACAGUAGGGCCUUAGUCAGUUUGCCCUUAUACCUGUAUGCUCUGGACAGAUUCAAAGCACUUUCUCCUAACUACCCACAGGGCGCCAUCUCUCCGCCACUACCCCGAUGCACACACACUCCCAGUGGGGCUGGGGAGAGUUCCCCGACCCUGGACCCAAAUCAGGCACUUUGUCCUGAGCGAGCCCCUCCUGUUGCCUCAUUGACCCACUCAAAGUCCAUUUAUUCUUCCUUUUGACACAGUGCUGAUGCCUUGGGUGCUUCCAUUUCCUAGGCUGGAGGGGAAUUAGAAAGGUGCGUGGGAGGAGAGAGGGCCCAGGAAGAGAGAAGACAGGUGGUAAGUUGAUUUUGUCGAUAACAUUUGCAGCCAAAUUUCAAGGGAGGCCCUAGAGCCACUGUAUAACACAGACGUGACACCUAUGGGGCGCUUGUUGAAGGACACACGGAUGCUCUGCUGGUUUGGUGGCUGUGAUGACUUCAUGCAAAUGGCAGCUACAUUUGUAUGAUACUUUGUUAAAGCAAACUAGGUAUAAAUAAAGAUUCAUGCCCAAA